Molecule: ribosomal RNA, 477 nt
Filed under: Candidatus Scalindua brodae
Lineage: Bacteria; Pseudomonadati; Planctomycetota; Candidatus Brocadiia; Candidatus Brocadiales; Candidatus Scalinduaceae
Also listed under: 1 other name
Description: bacterial SSU rRNA
Rfam family: Bacterial small subunit ribosomal RNA
Source: RNAcentral
UUCGCAAUGCCCGAAAGGGUGACGAAGCGACGCCGCGUGGGUGAGGAAGGCCUUCGGGUUGUAAAGCCCUGUCAGGAGUUAAGAAAUGUAAGUGUGCUAAUAUCGCAUUUACUUGACGAAGGCUCCAAAGGAAGUCACGGCUAACUCUGUGCCAGCAGCCGCGGUAAUACAGAGAUGGCAAGCGUUGUUCGGAAUUAUUGGGCGUAAAGAGCACGUAGGUGGGUUUGUAAGUCAGGUGUGAAAGCCUUCUGUUCAACAGGAGAAUUGCAUCUGAAACUACAAGUCUUGAGUGUAGGAGGGGAGAAUGGAACUUCUGGUGGAGCGGUGAAAUGCGUAGAUAUCAGAAGGAACGCCGGCGGCGAAAGCGAUUCUCUGGCCUAUUACUGACACUCAGUGUGCGAAAGCUAGGGGAGCAAACGGGAUUAGAUACCCCGGUAGUCCUAGCCGUAAACGAUGGGCACUAAGUAGAGGGGUUUU